GGGGGGGGGGGGCAAGCGUUGUUCGGAUUUACUGGGCGUAAAGGGCUCGUAGGGCGGCCAUCUAAGUCGGGUUGUGAAAUCCCUCGGCUCAACCGGGGAACUGCGACCGAUACUGGGUGGCUUGAAGCCGGGAGAGGGAUGCGGAAUUCCAGGUGUAGCGGUGAAAUGCGUAGAUAUCUGGAGGAACACCCGUGGCGAAGGCGGCAUCCUGGACCGGUCUUGACGCUGAGGAGCGAAAGCUAGGGUAGCAAACGGGAUUAGAUACCCCGGUAGUCCUAGCCCUAAACGAUGAAUGCUUGGUGUGGCGGGUAUCGAUCCCUGCCGUGCCGUAGCUAACGCGUUAAGCAUUCCGCCUGGGGAGUACGGUCGCAAGGCUG
This 377-nucleotide ribosomal RNA is filed under the name uncultured organism. RNAcentral describes it as "partial 16S ribosomal RNA". It matches the Rfam family "Bacterial small subunit ribosomal RNA", at positions 523 to 896 of the family's 1533-position model. The record is from RNAcentral.